CCUACGGGGGGCAGCAGUGGGGAAUAUUGCACAAUGGGGGAAACCCUGAUGCAGCGACGCCGCGUGAGUGAAGAAGUAUUUCGGUAUGUAAAGUUCUAUCAGCAGGGAAGAAAAUGACGGUACCUGAUUAAGAAGCCCCGGCUAACUACGUGCCAGCAGCCGCGGUAAUACGUAGGGGGCAAGCGUUAUCCGGAUUUAUUGGGUGUAAAGGGGGCGUAGACGGCAGCACAAGUCUGGAGUGAAAUGCCGGGGCUUAACCCCGGAACUGCUUUGGAACCUGUGCAGCUAGAGUGCAGGAGAGGUAAGUGGAAUUCCUAGUGUAGCGGUGAAAUGCGUAGAUAUUAGGAGGAACACCAGUGGCGAAGGCGGCUUACUGGACUGUAACUGACGUUGAGGCUCGAAAGCGUGGGGAGCAAACAGGAUUAGAUACCCUUGUAGUC
Molecule: ribosomal RNA, 440 nt
Filed under: uncultured bacterium
Lineage: Bacteria
Description: partial 16S ribosomal RNA
Rfam family: Bacterial small subunit ribosomal RNA
Source: RNAcentral